UUUCAUAUCAUUUAUCCUUCAUGAGUACUUUGCAAGGGAGGUGUCGGUAAAGUCCUUCAACAGAUUUAAAUAUGAGUCUCAGACAAGUUUAUAAACUUGCUGUGGGAAACCUAGCUGCUCAAUGAAGGGGCUGAAAAAUCCAUUCCAGUUCUGACUGCAGUCUUUUGUAACAACACCUUGUCUAAAGACCACCAGGUUCCUUCGCCAUUUCAGCUGCCACCAUCCCCUCUCCCCAAAACCCCAGUAGACAUCAACAGAAUCCAGAAACUACAGGGUCCACUGGCAUGGCAGGGCCUGUAGGAUUCUUUUCCAAUGUGUACAGAUUGGCUGAUGCCUGGACUAUGCCAGUUCACUGUUUUAAAGAUUACUCUUGAUUGUCACAAUUAAAAACAAAGAAUAUUUAGAACCAAAUUAUAUGUGUUGCACAUUAAACAAAACGUUUUAUAAU
This 448-nucleotide long non-coding RNA is filed under the name Homo sapiens (human). RNAcentral's name for it is "HSALNT0320015". The record is from RNAcentral. Lineage: Eukaryota; Metazoa; Chordata; Mammalia; Primates; Hominidae.